Long non-coding RNA from Dioscorea cayenensis subsp. rotundata (Guinea yam), 1380 nucleotides. RefSeq lists it as uncharacterized. NCBI's taxonomy places the organism in Eukaryota, Viridiplantae, Streptophyta, Magnoliopsida, Dioscoreales, Dioscoreaceae. The record is from RefSeq and is a predicted model, not a curated record. The transcript is spliced from 4 exons.
UUUCAUGCUUGUAAAUUUGGAGCUUUGAGUGUGCAGCCUUUAGGUUUAGGUUGCUAAUAUUAUUCACACCUUGGUUUAAGCAUGACCUCUUGUAAUCUUGCCUUGAUAGCUUAUUAUUUUGUGGUGUAUUUAAUUUGUGAUUAUAGUAACCUGAUGCUUUAGUUUGUUUGGAAUCCUCUUUGUCUAAACUUGGGGUUGUUUGGCCUUGUAUUGGUUUAAUCAUCUAUAGGUUGUCCUUAAUUUAACUUUAAUUGUGUUUGAAGCUGGACAUCAUGUGAGUUUGGUUUUGCAUGAGAUCAUGACUUUUAAUAUUUUAAUCAUCUAAAGCCUUCUAGACCCUAAGUGCCUUGUUGUAGAUCAUUGUUGGUAUUAGCUUAACAUCUAGACCUAGUCUUUACAAGCACUUGUAAGCAUGCUUUCUAAAAUUUCUAUUUGCUUAAAUAUCUUCAACUAUAGGUUCUGUGAACUUGUGUGUGGCUUCCAGAAGCAUGGAUAACAUGCUUUAUGAUUAUCUCACUUAUGUGAAUAUUUAUAUAGUCAUGUACUUUCAGUUGUAUACUUGAUAGUUGGAAUUUUAAUUUCCAUCCUUGAACCUUGCAUAUCAGGUUAUUAUUUAUAGACAUAGGUAUUUGGUUGUGGUUGACUUAUCCUGCAAUGAUUGUAAAUUCUUCCUCCGGGGCCUUAGUUGUAGUAGGCCCGGCCCAAGACUUAAUUCUAAGUAAAGCUUUUGUUGGUUAGAUUUUGUAGCGAGCCCUAGUUCGCGGGACUUGGUGAACCCGACUCUGUAGCUCGGAGCCAGGAGAAGAUCAAGUCUAGGAUCGGGGGGGGUGUCUGGGAGUGUAUUUUCCGUUGUUAUCAGUAUCUCUGUAGUACACUUUUCUGGGAUUGAGAAUGCACCUGAACCUGCACCUUCAAGCGUUGGCCGAAAAAGAUAGAAAAUACCUUAUAGAAGAAGCAACCAGGCAGCCAAUCUAGAAAAUGUCUUAAUUGGUAGUACUACAGCUGUCAAUUCACCAAGUCAGCCCCCUGAUCUCUUAGGCACCCUACAGUCUCAAACAAGGCAACCAAGUCAAAUUACCAACAAAGGGCCAGUAUUAAAUGUCAGCAUAAGCAUGUCUUCCCAUAUUAGUGUGGCUAACAUGGGAAAUGUGAUCAACUGCACAAUGCCAACCCAAUCUCCAAUAAGAGAUAGGGCUUCUUCCUCAGUCAUGGAUGGUGGAAAGGAAAUGGAAUGUUUUGAUGAUGGAAAACUCUGUUGAUAUUUAAAUUAUGAACUUUGUGAACUAGUAGUAACAUUUUAUUUUGAGUCAAUGUCCUUUAGAUUUGUUAUGAAAUUUCUUUUAAGCACUGUCAGUUAUGUAUUUUGUUGGAUUUGUUGCA